AGCGAACGCUGGCGGCAGGCUUAACACAUGCAAGUCGAGCGGGCAUCCUUGUGGUGUCAGCGGCAGACGGGUGAGUAACGCGUGGGAACGUGCCCUUCGUUUCGGAAUAACUCAGGGAAACUUGAGCUAAUACCGGAUACGUGCGAGAGCAGAAAGGUUUAUCUGCCGAAGGAUCGGCCCGCGUCUGAUUAGCUAGUUGGUGAGGUUACGGCUCACCAAGGCGACGAUCAGUAGCUGGUCUGAGAGGAUGAUCAGCCACACUGGGACUGAGACACGGCCCAGACUCCUACGGGAGGCAGCAGUGGGGAAUAUUGGACAAUGGGGGCAACCCUGAUCCAGCCAUGCCGGGUGAGUGAUGACGGCCUUAGGGUUGUAAAGCUCUUUUCUCCGGGACGAUAAUGACGGUACCGGAGGAAUAAGCCCCGGCUAACUUCGUG
RNAcentral lists this ribosomal RNA (437 nucleotides) under uncultured bacterium. Its description in RNAcentral is "partial 16S ribosomal RNA". It matches the Rfam family "Bacterial small subunit ribosomal RNA", at positions 29 to 507 of the family's 1533-position model. The record is from RNAcentral.